Molecule: ribosomal RNA, 253 nt
Filed under: uncultured bacterium
Lineage: Bacteria
Description: partial 16S ribosomal RNA
Rfam family: Bacterial small subunit ribosomal RNA
Source: RNAcentral
UACGUAGGGUGCGAGCGUUAAUCGGAAUUACUGGGCGUAAAGCGUGCGCAGGCGGUUCUCCAAGUCCGUUGUGAAAGCCCCGGGCUCAACCUGGGAAUGGCAGUGGAAACUAGGGGACUUGAAUCUGGCAGAGGGGGGUGGAAUUCCCGGUGUAGCGGUGAAAUGCGCAGAUAUCGGGAAGAACACCCGUGGCGAAGGCGGUUCUCUGGGACGGUACUGACGCUGAGACGCGAAAGCGUGGGGAGCGAACAGG